Molecule: ribosomal RNA, 369 nt
Filed under: Caminella caboverdensis
Lineage: Eukaryota; Metazoa; Porifera; Demospongiae; Tetractinellida; Geodiidae
Description: LSU rRNA
Rfam family: Eukaryotic large subunit ribosomal RNA
Source: RNAcentral
AUCAAUAAGCGGAGGAAAAGCAACUAACCAGGAUUCCCCCAGUAACGGCGAGCGAAGCGGGAAUAGCUCGAGCAGCCAAUCUCUGGUGUCGAUCGCCAGCGAAUUGUGGCCGGUAGAGGCGGAUGCUCCCGAGGCGACUCCGUCGAAGUUGACCUGGAAAGGCACGUCGGAGAGGGUGAUAGCCCCGUGCGUGGCGGAGUCGCCGAAGGCCGCUACCGUCUUCGGAGAGUCGGGUUGUUUGGGAGUGCAGCCCAAAGUGGGUGGUAAACUCCAUCUAAAGCCAAAUAACGGCACGAGACCGAUAGCGAACAAGUACCAUGAGGGAAAGGUGAAAAGCACUUUGGAAAGAGAGUUAAAGAGGCCGCGAAA